UCAUUAUCAAAUUUCAAUCAUAAACAAAUUUAUAUAAAUCUUAUAAAUUGGUUGACAAAUGAAUGAAAGGCUAAUCUAAGGAUUGUUGCGGUAUUUAGCUUGUGGAUUCGGUAACAUAUACGAAGGAGAUGGAGCGUAGGCAUAGAUGGAUGUACGAGAUAACU
Erigeron canadensis is the source of this 164-nucleotide long non-coding RNA. RefSeq lists it as uncharacterized. The record is from RefSeq and is a predicted model, not a curated record. The transcript has 3 exons. NCBI's taxonomy places the organism in Eukaryota, Viridiplantae, Streptophyta, Magnoliopsida, Asterales, Asteraceae.